AUACGUAGGUGACAAGCGUUAUCCGGAUUUACUGGGCGUAAAGGGCGUGUAGGCGGUCUUGCAAGUCAGAAGUGAAAUUCCUGAGCUCAACUCGGCGCUGCUUCUGAAACUGCCGGACUUGAGUGCUGGAGGGGAUAGCGGAAUUCCUAGGGGAGCGGUAAAAUGCGCAGAUAUUAGGAAGAACACCGGUGGCGAAGGGGGCUAUCUGGACAGUAACUGACGCUGAGGCGCGAAAGCGUGGGGAGCAAACAGGAUUAGAUACCCUGUUAGUCCACGCCGUAAACGAUGAAUACUAGGUGUAGGGGGUAUCGACUCCCUCUGUGCCGCAGUUAACACAAUAAGUAUUCCGCCUGUGGAGUACGGCCGCAAGGUUGAAACUCAAAUGAAUUGGCGGGG
This 396-nucleotide ribosomal RNA is filed under the name uncultured bacterium. Its description in RNAcentral is "partial 16S ribosomal RNA". It matches the Rfam family "Bacterial small subunit ribosomal RNA", at positions 523 to 918 of the family's 1533-position model. The record is from RNAcentral.